This 977-nucleotide long non-coding RNA is filed under the name Homo sapiens (human). Its description in RNAcentral is "HSALNT0342128". Lineage: Eukaryota; Metazoa; Chordata; Mammalia; Primates; Hominidae. The record is from RNAcentral.
UUGAAUGAAGGCUCAGGCGGAGAGGAUCACUUUUCAAAGAUUGUAAAAGAAGUUACGUGGAUAGUGUGUGUUAUGCAGCAAGGAAAGGAAUGGAAAAUCAGAAGACGUGUUUAGAUCACACAAACCAGAGGUGAAAGCUGAAUCUGAGAGGCUUCUGUUUCCAGCAAUAAGCUCUGUUGUUUGGUGAAUACUCAUUUAGGAUUGUUAAAUCUUCUUGGAGGAUUGACCUUUUUAUCAUUAGGUUGCUGAAGAAGAAUCUUACUCUAGGGCUCACUAGCAACUUUGGACUGGUGAUGUAUAAGACAUUAUAUAUUUCUGGGGUUUUUUUUUUGCUUUUUUUAUUUACAAAAGGUGAAUUUAGUUGUUUCUCUCUCAUUCCCUUAGUUCAAAAAUGAUUAGCCCCAGAUAUUGCCCUAUUCUUUUCCAAAUUCUGGUUAUACAUCAAAAUAAACAACCAAACAAAAACAUAGGGUUAGGGGAGAUUGGAUGAAAGAAAGAAGAAGAUGAAAGAAAGAAGAAAAAAACAUUCAAAGGCAAUGUUUUUCUUAACUGCUGUUCCCUUCAGUAAGAUAUAUAUUUCAGGCUGUGUCCACAGCACACACAUAUUUAACUAAAACAAACAUUUGACAAAGCAAUAGUUAUCCUUACAGAGGGAUAUGACACUUUUAUAUUUCCUGUUCUAGUCUAUCCUUUUUAAUGGUGCUUUUGACACACUAAUUAAGUCCAUAAACCACGAAGGGAUACCACCAAUGGUUUGAAAAUGAUAUCUUAAGGAGAUGCAAAAAUGUGAAAAGAGGGAGUUUCGUUUCAUAUGUAAUACGUACUAACUGACCUAGACUUUGUGAAAGUGGUAAAAAAAAUCACAGUGUGAUUUCAUUUCUAUAAAGAAUGCACAUCCAUAUAGACUCCUUCAGGCUGGGUAGGAGGCAGUGCUGGGUUGUGCUUUCUUCUUUUUCUUUCUUUUUUUUUUUUUUUUU